RNAcentral lists this long non-coding RNA (3180 nucleotides) under Nicotiana benthamiana. Its description in RNAcentral is "long non-coding RNA (NBEN_LNC011352)". The record is from RNAcentral. Lineage: Eukaryota; Viridiplantae; Streptophyta; Magnoliopsida; Solanales; Solanaceae.
GUAAUGUACAAAAAAUUUUAUUCUUUCCAAAUUCAACAAAAUUCUCUUCCUAUGCAUCAGACUAUGUUUACUGACCCAGACUCAAUUGAUUCUGGCAUCACUGCCUCAAAUACCUCAGAAAACACAUCUGGGUGUCGCAAGGGACCACAUUUAGCAUCAACAAACUCCUCUUCCGCUUAUAUGGAUAUGGUUCAGAUGACAUUUACUAUGGCAAAAUGAACAUCGCAUGAAACAUAAAUGUCAUAUUAAAACACAUGAUCACAAAUACCAACUGUAGUAGCUAAUGCAUAAAAGUAUGCAGCUUUGAUUAAAAGGAAGCAAAUCUUCAACAAGAAUGACAAGAAGACUCAUGAAAUUCGAUCAAAUAAAUGUAUAAUUGACAGCCAUUUUGUUCAUGAAACUUGGCUCUUCCAGUUAAUUUCAGGCCUACAAUAGAAGCUGUGUGGCUAUUGAUCAACUAUUGAUAUUCUGAUUCAUCAAUUAGCCUCCAUUUAAUUUUCCUCUCCCUCAAAAUAUCUAGGCAGAACCAAAUUCUAGUGACAGUAUUUUUGAAAGAUUGAAACAGUACUUGCGGAGAUCAACAAUAAGUGCAAAUCGAGCUUUCAAUCUUCAACAAUGAACACCACCACCACCACCAACAACAAUAACAACCCAGUAUAAUCCCACUUAGUGGGGUCUGGGGAGGUAGUGUGUAUGCAGACCUUACCCCUACCCUGGGGUAGAGAGGUUGUUUCCAAAUAGACCCCCGACAUCCUUCCNNNNNNNNNNNNNNNNNNNNNNNNNNNNNNNNNNNNNNNNNNNNNNNNNNNNNNNNNNNNNNNNNNNNNNNNNNNNNNNNNNNNNNNNNNNNNNNNNNNNNNNNNNNNNNCCUCCAAGAACUUCCCACCUUGCUCUUGGGGAGAAUCGAACUCACAACCUCUCGGUUGGAAGUGGGGGUUGCUUACCAUCAGAGCAAUCCCUCUUGUCACCAACCAAUCUUUAUUAACAUGGAUGGGCAAAACUAGCAAACUGAUUUCAGCAAACAGUCAGAUAUGCACUUUUAAGCGUAAUCCGAGCAAGAUAACAGCUGCAAUGGUGCCAAUCUUAGCUAGAAGUGCAGAAGACCAUUCAAACUGAGGAUACAUAAAAAAACUAUUUCAAAUGUCUAGAUAGUCCUACAUUCCUAACGCUAGGGCAUGAAUGAAAAUUAUGCAUAACUCGACUGAUUCGCGACCAAUACACAAACCAACAUGAAAACUUUGCAAACACACGAGCCAUUUAAGCAUAGUAAACCAGCAAACAAACCAACAUGGGCCAAUAGUCAGAAUACUGCAUUUAAACUGACCAUCAACAGCCUAGAACAACUCUUAAACACCUCUUAAACAAGGUAGAUUUCAGAAUACUGCUUGCACAGUGCAAAACAGGCAGAUUUUCAGCAAAACUACAUGAGGCAAAUUUCUAUCAAGCUAACAUUCCAAACAAAUGUCCUACAAACUGAUUCUAACAGCAAAAGUCGUGUUUCACUAGCCCAAAUGGCCAAAAAUCAGAUUUGAUUUGAUCAAAUGCCAACAACAAACGAUAAGAUUCAGAAUAAAAACCAUAUUCCAAUGCAAAGAUAAGUACAAAGCAUCUCAAAAAAUGUGUGAGAUUAACAAAGAUGAUCCCUAUAUCUUAGUUUGUAAACCCCCAGAACAAGAGGGAGGAGCAGAGAGAAAAAUUUACCUGGAAAGAUUCCAUAUUGCUCGAUAAAUCAACCUUCGAUUUUGGGAGAGAGCUUAGAACAAAUGACAUGAAUCAACACCAGGAGCAACCGAACAAAAUAAAACACCUCGGAAGAACUGAACUAAUCACAAAAGAUGGCUCGACUAGGAUUUAACAGAGAAUCACAACAGUUCUAAAUAGACACCCAAAUUCAGGAAUCAGUUGACAUAUACACAGCCAAACCAAUCCAGAAACACUCGUGCAAAUCACAAACCAACAAAUUAUGACCAACAGUCACCAAGACUUAUACAAUUCUAAACCAGCUGAACUCAAACUCAAUACAUUUCUUAAUCAAAGAUAGGCUACAUGGGAUUAGAAAUGAACCCGAAUCAAUAAACACUCGCGAUUAACUUUGCUCGAACGUUGAAUACAAAUGAAAUCCAAUAGCUAGUAUCAGCAACCAGCAACAGAAAUGAGUAGGAAUCAGUUGACAUAUACACAGCCAAACCAAUCCAGAAACACUCGUGCAAAUCACAAACCAACAAAUUAUGACCAACAGUCACCAAGACUUAUACAAUUCUAAACCAGCUGAACUCAAACUCAACACAUUUCUUAAUCAAAGAUAGGCUACAUGGGAUUAGAAAUGAACCCGAAUCAAUAAACACUCGCGAUUAACUUUGCUCGAACGUUGAAUACAAAUGAAAUCCAAUAGCUAGUAUCAGCAACCAGCAACAGAAAUGAGUAGGAAUUAGAAGCUCAGACAGCGACACACUCAAGCAACUUUCAAUCGAACUCCAUUUUGAGAACCAAAAUCAAAACAAAUAUUGAAAUCUUUUGGUGAUUUUCUGAUUUCUUCUAAAAUGAAACUCAAGUAAAAAUCAAACUCAAACUAUUAUUUUUUGUAUUUUUGUUUUUCUGAAAAUGCAGUACCAACGUGAAGAGAAAGAAAACUAAGAACCCUAUAACUUUUUACCUCUCCGAAAAUUCUCUCCAAAACCCCCUAAUUUCUGAAAAACCUCACCUUAUAUAGACUUUGUAGCUCUUCUCGAACCUUCUCCGCACACCCCUCUAAAAGUUUUUGUAAUUUCUUUACUAUGAAUGAUAUUUUGGAGGGCAAGGAUUGAUUUUCAUCCAUCCACGACUGCCAUUUAUCCAGCGAAUCGAUCCGGAGCUAAACAAUGCGCAAAAAUCUCAGUAUGGAAUCUUCAAUUUGUCAGAAACCGUUACAUUGUGGUGAGAGGGAGAGAGGGGAACACGUGGGGAGAAAUCUGAGGCUCACUCACACAGAUUUUGGCUAAAAUAGGGGUUUGAUUCGAGUUUUUCUUUGGAGAAGAAGAACAGUCGCGUUUGGGAUUAGGGGUUUUGAGUCUUAAGUCUGUAUGAAUCCGUUCAUGUAUUUUGUGGAGAUGGGUCACGGUUUGGGGGUAUCUAGGCCGGGUCUGGGGUGGAAAUAGUUUGGGCUUGGGAGAUUAGAAUUAAAAAAAAAAAAAAACAAAUUUU